GACGAACGCUGGCGGCGUGCCUAAUACAUGCAAGUAGAACGCUGAAGAGAGGAGCUUGCUCUUCUUGGAUGAGUUGCGAACGGGUGAGUAACGCGUAGGUAACCUGCCUGGUAGCGGGGGAUAACUAUUGGAAACGAUAGCUAAUACCGCAUAAAAUUGAUUAUUGCAUGAUAAUUAAUUGAAAGAUGCAACUGCAUCACUACCAGAUGGACCUGCGUUGUAUUAGCUAGUUGGUGAGGUAACGGCUCACCAAGGCGACGAUACAUAGCCGACCUGAGAGGGUGAUCGGCCACACUGGGACUGAGACACGGCCCAGACUCCUACGGGAGGCAGCAGUAGGGAAUCUUCGGCAAUGGGGGGAACCCUGACCGAGCAACGCCGCGUGAGUGAAGAAGGUUUUCGGAUCGUAAAGCUCUGUUGUAAGAGAAGAACGGGUGUGAGAGUGGAAAGUCCACACUGUGACGGUAUCUUACCAGAAAGGGACGGCUAACUACGUG
RNAcentral lists this ribosomal RNA (497 nucleotides) under uncultured bacterium. Its description in RNAcentral is "partial 16S ribosomal RNA". It matches the Rfam family "Bacterial small subunit ribosomal RNA", at positions 28 to 507 of the family's 1533-position model. The record is from RNAcentral.